Molecule: non-coding RNA, 70 nt
Organism: Rattus norvegicus (Norway rat)
Lineage: Eukaryota; Metazoa; Chordata; Mammalia; Rodentia; Muridae
Source: Rfam
GGGGAUUUGGCUCAGUGGUAGAGCGCUUGCCUAGGAAGCGCAAGGCCCUGGGUUCGGUCCCCAGCUCCCA